RNAcentral lists this ribosomal RNA (786 nucleotides) under Escherichia coli. Its description in RNAcentral is "partial 23S ribosomal RNA". It matches the Rfam family "Bacterial large subunit ribosomal RNA", at positions 2136 to 2915 of the family's 2925-position model. Lineage: Bacteria; Pseudomonadati; Pseudomonadota; Gammaproteobacteria; Enterobacterales; Enterobacteriaceae. The record is from RNAcentral.
GUGUAGGAUAGGUGGGAGGCUUUGAAGUGUGGACGCCAGUCUGCAUGGAGCCGACCUUGAAAUACCACCCUUUAAUGUUUGAUGUUCUAACGUUGACCCGUAAUCCGGGUUGCGGACAGUGUCUGGUGGGUAGUUUGACUGGGGCGGUCUCCUCCUAAAGAGUAACGGAGGAGCACGAAGGUUGGCUAAUCCUGGUCGGACAUCAGGAGGUUAGUGCAAUGGCAUAAGCCAGCUUGACUGCGAGCGUGACGGCGCGAGCAGGUGCGAAAGCAGGUCAUAGUGAUCCGGUGGUUCUGAAUGGAAGGGCCAUCGCUCAACGGAUAAAAGGUACUCCGGGGAUAACAGGCUGAUACCGCCCAAGAGUUCAUAUCGACGGCGGUGUUUGGCACCUCGAUGUCGGCUCAUCACAUCCUGGGGCUGAAGUAGGUCCCAAGGGUAUGGCUGUUCGCCAUUUAAAGUGGUACGCGAGCUGGGUUUAGAACGUCGUGAGACAGUUCGGUCCCUAUCUGCCGUGGGCGCUGGAGAACUGAGGGGGGCUGCUCCUAGUACGAGAGGACCGGAGUGGACGCAUCACUGGUGUUCGGGUUGUCAUGCCAAUGGCACUGCCCGGUAGCUAAAUGCGGAAGAGAUAAGUGCUGAAAGCAUCUAAGCACGAAACUUGCCCCGAGAUGAGUUCUCCCUGACUCCUUGAGAGUCCUGAAGGAACGUUGAAGACGACGACGUUGAUAGGCCGGGUGUGUAAGCGCAGCGAUGCGUUGAGCUAACCGGUACUAAUGAACCGUGAGG